Vigna umbellata (rice bean) is the source of this 1032-nucleotide non-coding RNA. The record is from RefSeq and is a predicted model, not a curated record. NCBI's taxonomy places the organism in Eukaryota, Viridiplantae, Streptophyta, Magnoliopsida, Fabales, Fabaceae.
GAAUGCGUUGCAGAUUUUAGAGUUUUGCAGAGUGUUUGGAAAGUCUCUUGAUCUCAAGAAAGGAGAAGCUGAAGCCAUUUUUAAAGAAUAUUGAUCAGUAAAGAAUGUAUGGAUGAACACAUUAGAUUGUUGGCAUUGAUCGUAAACAGUUCGAAAAAGGAGUGGGUUAUCCCUUACAACUCUUGUUUGAAGUUUUCUUAGUGAUUAAAUUUUUUUGAGAUGCUUGAAUUAAAGUUUUCAUAUGGAUGAUUUUGGUGUAGGUUUCCAUCCUUGUCAUGAAACUAAUUCAUGGUUGAAACAUUUAGAGGAUUUGAUUAUGCAAUCACAUCACCCUCUAAAUUAUUUCUCUUGGAUUGAUUUCAAGAAGGGAUCAAUGAACUAUAAAUUGAAUUUGUCUAAGAAAUUUAAACUGAUGACUCUUUGUGACAAAGCUUUGAACACUGAGUAAGUAUUUCAAGUGCUCUGUUAAAAAAUAUUCCUUUUUGUGUAUUCUUCUUUUGUUUUAUUACUUGUUUAAUAUGCCCAGAAAACUAAGGAGCUAUAUUCAGUACGAAAAUUCGUGACAUGCAAAAGUAGUGAAAGAAGAAAAACUUAAGAUUGAUGCAGCUAAGGAAAAGGUAAAGUCUCUUGCACAGAACAAGUUGCAGAGAAGAUCAAAGUAUCUCCAUUCCGAUUGAGGAGCAUGAUGCUCUAAGAUAAGAACUGAGGUUGACGAAACACAGACUUAGAUGUUAAGGUUAAAGAGCACAAGUGAAAAAUGUAUGUCAUGAUUAAUUGAUUAUGAAUUAUAUAUUGGCUAAAGUCCUCCACUUUCAUUUUUUAGGUCAAAAUAUUUUGGUGUGGAACAAAUAUCCAUGGUUCAAAGUUAUCAAGUUGUAAAUCUUUAUAUGGUGGCCAUUUUUAUCAAACUUAGAGUAGGUUCCUCCUUUGUUUUUAGACUCAAGAGACCUUCAUUAUCGUAAUCAUUGUAUAUAAUUCUUUUUAUAUUUUAUUUUAGUGGAAUACGAACUGAAAUAAUUUUUUGUAAUUUAA